This 476-nucleotide ribosomal RNA is filed under the name Cladosporium cladosporioides. Its description in RNAcentral is "eukaryotic LSU rRNA". The stretch from base 120 to 273 matches the Rfam family "5.8S ribosomal RNA". The record is from RNAcentral. Lineage: Eukaryota; Fungi; Ascomycota; Dothideomycetes; Cladosporiales; Cladosporiaceae.
CCUUUGUUGUCCGACUCUGUUGCCUCCGGGGCGACCCUGCCUUCGGGCGGGGGCUCCGGGUGGACACUUCAAACUCUUGCGUAACUUUGCAGUCUGAGUAAACUUAAUUAAUAAAUUAAAACUUUUAACAACGGAUCUCUUGGUUCUGGCAUCGAUGAAGAACGCAGCGAAAUGCGAUAAGUAAUGUGAAUUGCAGAAUUCAGUGAAUCAUCGAAUCUUUGAACGCACAUUGCGCCCCCUGGUAUUCCGGGGGGCAUGCCUGUUCGAGCGUCAUUUCACCACUCAAGCCUCGCUUGGUAUUGGGCAUCGCGGUCCGCCGCGUGCCUCAAAUCGACCGGCUGGGUCUUCUGUCCCCUAAGCGUUGUGGAAACUAUUCGCUAAAGGGUGUUCGGGAGGCUACGCCGUAAAACAACCCCAUUUCUAAGGUUGACCUCGGAUCAGGUAGGGAUACCCGCUGAACUUAAGCAUAUCAAUAA